UUCCCGACCCAUUUUUUCUCCAUUUUCCAACCCGAUUUGGUGUUGAUCCAACUACUCUUGGGCUUCAAUCGGAAAAGCUUAAUUCCGACUUCCCUUUUCCCUUCUAGCUCUAGAUUUUUCACAUACAUGGCUCUACUCAAUCCAUUUUCUUCCUAUCCCUAGUUCCGGCCUCCCUUUGUCCUACAAUUUUCUAGAUCUGCGAUCGUUUCUUGUUACCACUGUUUGUGGCCAUCUCGGAAGGUGUAUUGAGCUCCAACUCCUGUUUGGUGCUUGGGUGGUCACACCACCACCUUCUAGCUGUAUGCAGCUUGCACUGUUGCUUGUGGGAAGUUUUUUUCACUAGCUUCCUCUACUUGUUUGUUGCAGAUUUGGACUUUGUGGUGCUUGCUGGUGAAGGGUGGAACGUUCUUCUUUUCCAAUUUGGAGCCUUUGUUCUGUUGGAUCUUCGAUGUAUGCAUCUGUGUUGGUUUGUGGUCGGCGACUUUGAUGGUGGCAGAGUUGCUAGGGUUUUUUUGCUUUUUGUUUGUUUACUUUGGGCUCAAUCUUUCGGUUAAGCUCUGUUAUAGUGGUGAUUUGGGGUCCAUUAUUUAGCUUAGUGCUUUCCAUGUAUUUGGACCUCUUUCUGUAUGUUUGUUUUUGUGGUAAUGAAUUUUACCCUUGACCAAAAAAAAAGGGUUAUCUUUG
This 684-nucleotide long non-coding RNA is filed under the name Malus domestica (apple). Its description in RNAcentral is "long non-coding RNA (MDOM_LNC015501)". Lineage: Eukaryota; Viridiplantae; Streptophyta; Magnoliopsida; Rosales; Rosaceae. The record is from RNAcentral.